This 205-nucleotide long non-coding RNA is filed under the name Lathyrus oleraceus (garden pea). RNAcentral's name for it is "Pisum sativum (pea) long non-coding RNA (PSAT_LNC028408)". The record is from RNAcentral. Lineage: Eukaryota; Viridiplantae; Streptophyta; Magnoliopsida; Fabales; Fabaceae.
GAAUGCUUGCUUGGAUAUAAUGGCUAUCUUCAUUUGAUGCCUUGGUCUUCAUAUGAUGCUUGGAUAUUGCUCAUUUCUUAUUGCUUAUUGCUUGUCAAAGUCCAAAGGAAAAUGGAUUUUUAUAUGACAUUCUUGUCUGUUGGAUUGUAUCCCAAUAGUCAGAUCUUUUCAACUCUUAACUUUUAAUUUUUUGCUUAGGAUAGUC